GGGAGGUAGUGACAAUAAAUAACAAUACGGGGUUCUUUCGGAUCUCGUAAUUGGAAUGAGUACAAUUUAAAUCUCUUAACGAGGAACAAUUGGAGGGCAAGUCUGGUGCCAGCAGCCGCGGUAAUUCCAGCUCCAAUAGCGUAUAUUAAAGUUGUUGCAGUUAAAAAGCUCGUAGUUGAAUUUCGGGAUCAGAAGGUCGGUCGUGCCAAUGGUAUGCACUGGCCUUUCUGAUUCCUCCCUCUUGAUGAGCCGUAAUGUCAUUAAUUUGGUGUUGCGGGGAAUCAGGACUGUUACUUUGAAAAAAUUAGAGUGUUUAAAGCAGGCAAGCGCUUGAAUACAUUAGCAUGGAAUAAUGAAAUAGGACGUUCGAUCCUAUUUUGUUGGUUUCUAGGAUUGACGUAAUGAUUAAUAGGGAUAGUUGGG
RNAcentral lists this ribosomal RNA (423 nucleotides) under Glomus sp. Its description in RNAcentral is "SSU rRNA". It matches the Rfam family "Eukaryotic small subunit ribosomal RNA", at positions 459 to 886 of the family's 1831-position model. The record is from RNAcentral. Lineage: Eukaryota; Fungi; Glomeromycota; Glomeromycetes; Glomerales; Glomeraceae.